AUUGAACGCUGGCGGCAGGCCUAACACAUGCAAGUCGAGCGGAUGAAGGGAGAUUGCUUCUGGAUUCAGCGGCGGACGGGUGAGUAAUGCCUAGGAAUCUGCCUGGUAGUGGGGGAUAACGUCCGGAAACGGGCGCUAAUACCGUAUACGUCCUGAGGGAGAAAGUGGGGGAUCUUCGGACCUCACGCUAUCAGAUGAGCCGAGGUCGGAUUAGCUAGUUGGUGGGGUAAAGGCCUACCAAGGCGACGAUCCGUAACUGGUCUGAGAGGAUGAUCAGUCACACUGGAACUGAGACACGGUCCAGACUCCUACGGGAGGCAGCAGUGGGGAAUAUUGGACAAUGGGCGAAAGCCUGAUCCAGCCAUGCCGCGUGGGUGAAGAAGGUCUUCGGAUUGUAAAGCACUUUAAGUUGGGAGGAAGGGCAGUAAGUUAAUACCUUGCUGUUUUGACGUUACCAACAGAAUAAGCACCGGCUAACUUCGUG
This 484-nucleotide ribosomal RNA is filed under the name uncultured bacterium. RNAcentral describes it as "partial 16S ribosomal RNA". It matches the Rfam family "Bacterial small subunit ribosomal RNA", at positions 30 to 507 of the family's 1533-position model. The record is from RNAcentral.